Molecule: RNA transcript, 626 nt
Organism: Nestor notabilis (Kea)
Lineage: Eukaryota; Metazoa; Chordata; Aves; Psittaciformes; Psittacidae
Gene name: polymerase I and transcript release factor pseudogene
Exons: 1
Source: RefSeq, a predicted model, not a curated record
GUGGGGCUGUGCCAUUUGCAGUGCAGCACAGACAUCCCCACGCUGCGUCCCCGUUCCUGGCGCGGCUCCCAGCGCAGGCUUUAGCUGAGGCUCGGGUUUAGCCUUCCCUCCUCUCUGUCCCCGCAGUGAGAGCUUCCCGGGCUCUGCUCGCCAGCGUUCCCGAGCCAUCAUGGAGGAGACUACCCUGCAAAUCAUCGAACCACCAACUGUUUCCGAGGCCUCGGAGGAGCCGGUGCCCGAAGAACCCAUCAAACCAGACCAGAUCAACGGCGUGAUGGUGCUGACCCUUCUGGACAAGAUCAUCGGAGCGGUGGAUCAGAUCCAGCUGACCCAAACGCAGCUGGAGGAGAGGCAGCAAGACAUGGAUAGCGCCGUGACCAGCAUCCAGGGAGAGCUAACCAAGCUGGCAAAGGCUCACACCACCACCAGCAACACCGUGAACAAGAUGCUGGAAAAGGUGCGCAAGGUGAGCGUGAACGUGAAGACGGUUCGGCAGAACCUGGAGAAACAAGCGGGGCAGAUAAAGAAGCUGGAGGCCAACGAAGCAGAGCUCCUGAAACGCAGGAACUUCAAAGUCAUGAUCUACCAGGUAAGGAGCUGUUUCACACGUGCUUUGCGCCCUGCUG